Molecule: long non-coding RNA, 1758 nt
Filed under: Malus domestica (apple)
Lineage: Eukaryota; Viridiplantae; Streptophyta; Magnoliopsida; Rosales; Rosaceae
Description: long non-coding RNA (MDOM_LNC010593)
Source: RNAcentral
UAAACAGAUAGCCUAUCAAAGGUUCUAAGUAACGAAUAAUCGAAGGAGAAUCAUAUUCGACAUAGAUUCUCAUCCUUCACUGAGGCCCCAUUUUUGUACGUAAGGGCAGCGAGAUCGGCACAUAUACCGCACAACCAAAAACGCGUAGGUGUAGUUCUAAAAAAGAAUGGUGUAAACCAUCCUUGACGAAUAGUCUAUGGUGGGGCGUUAAGAAGAUUAGUUCUCCAUGAAUGUGUUUACGUGUAGACGGCGGCAUACGAGCCUCUGUUAGGCUAGAGAGAAUACGUGGAAUAUAGCUUCGACUAUCUUCGUACAUAAAAAUAAAUAGUUGGCUUUGCUUUGAUACAGCAAUCUUGGGCACUUACCAAACAUCAAAUAACUAAUAAUUAAUUUUAGUUUGUGCAUAAAUUGAUGGGAGACAAUGUUGGUCCAAAUAUAUAUGGGUAAACGCCUAAUUUUUCAAAAGAGUCUAGGUUACCGGUUAGGCAGUUGCACCACAAACCUAAUGUACCAAGGAAGACGAGAAAGAUGCAAGAACUUGCUACAUGAACACUUCGAAUUUGACAAUAUCUAGAAAUUAUAAGUAAUUGACAAUUAAUGAGAAAUCUCCGUUCAUUAAUUCGUCAUUACCGUGGAUUAGUAAAAAAGAAAUUUUAUUUGAACCCAUUUAACAUUUCUCUACACCCAACUUAAACUUUAAAUAUGAAAUGUCUUUAUUAUCCUAUUGCAUAAUUACCAUCAUGUACACGAUGAAAUUAAUUAUAAAAGUAAAAUUUAUCAAUAUACCCCCUGCCACCCCAAAAAUAAUCAAACACUAACCAUCACUAAUCUUUCUUCGACGUUCUAUUGUGACAAAAAUCCUAAGACGCAUUCAUAGAAAUAAAAACCGAUUUUUUUUUACGUAUGAACGGUGAUUUUGAAGUUUUGGAUCCUCCAACUUUUUUAUCGUCAUCAUGACUACCAACACCACCACCAUAUCUCCAACACUAACCUACUUCUACUUCUACUUCUACUGCUGCCAAAACAAUAAGCAACAGCUUAUCAAGGUCAACGACAAGAAAAGGUGGAGGAGGAGGAUAAGAGAGUUGGCAUAUGCUUUCACUAGUACUGCUACCUCUUAUAUAUGAGAUCAAAACCCUACUUAUUGUAAGAGUAGGGUUUCUUUGACAAAAGGUUGGCUCAAGGGGAAUCAAGUGAGUCGAUCUGAUAAUUCGGUAUUAUUCCCAAUACUACAAUCCGGCCUACAAAAUCUGCAUGCAUUUGUUAAACUAGUUAGGGUUUAGUUAAUUUAGUUUGACUCUCAUAGGCUCAUGGCACUGUGUUUAAUUAGAUUAAUAGAUUUAAUUAACAUGGAUAUUCAUGAGACUGAUCUGGGUAGCUUCUAAUGUAAAAAUAAUGAGUGUAAAGAUAAAUUUGCAUAUUGAAUUGGGUUUGCGAGGGUAGUUUAGGUAAUAAAUUUGGGUUUAAAGAGAUAUUGAUAGUUUACUUAAAAAUGAUAUGGGUGUAGAGAGGAAGUUGGAUGUAGAGAUAGGUUGUCAGGGUUCAAAUAAAAUUUCCCUUAGCACAAUGAGCUAGACCACGUUAAAUGUUUCUAUAACCAACUUUUCAUCAAAUUUUCCGUCAUUUGAGAGGUAUGUAACUCACUUUUGAGGACAUACGGUCUUCACUAAAAUUAUGCUCCUUGUAGUUUGCCUCUUUAACUCUUCACAAUAGUCUCAAAAAAUACACAUACUGCUUUUCAAUGUUUCAUUAUUUAGA